CCCGGUGGAACGACUAACAACGAGAUCGUCCAACGGACUCUCUGUCUCUCCCGCGCUACGAUCGAGACUCACUUUGCGGAAAUUGAAGUCUGUGACGGCGUACUUCUUGAAUCUUGGCAGAUUGGUCGCUGGCGGCGUGAUGCGCCCGCUGGGGAAGUGGUCCGAGGAGUCAGAGUUCCUCUGUGUGUCCGACGAUUGCGAGGGUGCUGCGAAUUUAUCAGCAGAACAAUGUUAAUUAAUAUACCCUUGCUACGAACAUUUCCAGGGGAGACACGCUCUAUUAGUAGACAGUGAGGUCUCGUCGGGAUAACAUGCGUGGCAGUAGACUGUAGUAGACUUCUAUAGAAAUGUCCGUUUACAUUGUAAAAUUAACGCGUCCGCGCGCAGGCGGCAGCGUUGAAAUCGCGGGGUAGAUAGUAUGUAUUUCAACGCAUUGUAAAGUUAACGCGUCUGUCACUUAACGUUCCGUUGUAACUUCUGUGACGGCGAACGGGUAAAUUAGAAGGCGACAACGUUGGGUUAACCGGUUGCAAACUCAAUUAACGAAGCUUGUUAACUGUGGUUUAACGCGCGUGAUCCAUGGAGCAGCGAGCGCGUGAUAUUUGGCUGGCUGACAUUUUUCGAAAAUAGCGGUGACCGUGGCGGUGAUACUCGGGUUGACGCGUGUGAUCGAUUAGGGGACAAGAACAGGGCUCGAGCGGUGGCACGGCGUCGUUUACCGAAUUUAACGGUUAUGUAAUUGAAUUUCCGCGGCGGUAAUCGCGAUCGCGGCGCGAUAACGGCCGCGAAAAUUAUUUAUUGGCUGGCGAACGGAUUUAUGACAUCCACGUGGAAGAGGAAGAUCGGCGUAGUCGUGGAUGAAUGCACCCGCGUCGCCAGCCAAGUGUCUGAUAAUGUAGCCAACGUACAUGAAACUGACUGGCUGCAUUUCCCAGAAAUUACUUUUAGACAAUCGACGCAAUGCACCGGCAGAGCUAUUAUUUCUUUUUCUUUUCAAAACAAGCAGAAUCUCUGUUUAUUAAAGUCUGUGAAUCGACCGUUUGACAAAGUAAUGGAAGCACCGUUCGCAAGUAGUUACGUUUGUCUCUAUUUAGAAUAUAGCUCUAUCGGAUACGAUCACAGCGAAUAAUAUAUCAAAAAUAUAUUAAUAAGAUUCUUUGAUCUAUUUUAAUAGAUCAAAGAGUUGUGUUGAUAUUUCCAAUAUUUUGGAAUAGGUAUUUCGAAGGCGGAGAUCCGAGAAGCGGUCUUUGAAAUUCCACGAAGACAGUUCUGCGUCAUUCGGACAGAGCUUUCAACUAGACGGCCGCUUUUAAAUAGAAUUUCCGAACUUGAACCAACUCGGUGCAUCGGUGCAUUGCUCACUCACCCCUCUUCACCGCCUGCAAAGCCUCCGCCACGAGCUUUUGGUUUAACCCGCAAAGGUUCCCGGUGAGCUUUUCGCAUUUCUUGUGGCACGCCAUGUCGCAAUCUGUGUCAACGUAUCGUUAAUAGACCCGAUUGUCAUAUCUGGUUCGUUCAUUUUUCAUUCGGUUACCUUUCACGAGUCUCGAAUAACACGCGCCACGGAUAUCUGUCGUCUCACGAUGCUUCUUGGGCACUGACGCCGAAACGCGGAAUCAUUUGGAGAGACUACAGUUUCGUUUCUAGCGAUACAAUGUACAUACUGUUAACCGAAAUGGAAUCCUCUGACGUAGUCCGUGCAAAUCCGCGCUAUUUUCCUGCUUCCAAAUCUAUGCGACGUUUAUCCACAACUAUCGCAGAGAAUAAGAAUGUAAUAUCGAGAACAACGAAAGAGUUUUAGCAUUAGAAAUGUCAAGCUACGAAACCGAUAAUUAACGUUUACCUGUAGCGAUUACGAAAACGAAUGCAUGUACGGACCAGAUUCGCAUAGAAGCACUAUCACGAUAGUGUAUUCCGACGGCUUCGAUAGUUUUCUAGUAGUGCAACCGGAUGACUUUUCUUCUCCCGUGCAAAACACUUUGCGGAUCCACUAAAAGCGGUGUCUAAUUAUUGUGCACGAUCCGCUAAAUUUAACGCGAAAGUCUCGUUCGCACCAUCUCCCGGCUGCACCACGAAGCCUUGAAUAUUGUUAUGCAAACUGCGCCGCGUUUUAUAAAUAGUGUCGCGUUGUUCAACCAUGCGGACCAGUCCCGGAUCAACACCGAACGGUUCACCAUUCCUGGUACAGCAAUUGUACUUGGACCGCGGCUCGGAGACCACCGAGCUCGGUCCCAAGGACACCUGUCUUAGGGUAUCGAAGCCAAGAGGCGACCAGGAAGGAUUCGUUGAAUUCCCGAACGCGCGCGACUGCACUUCCGGUUGUAAAUAAAUUGGCGUACGGAGUCGUUGACACUGAGGCAACGACCUUAUGUAAUAUCGAUUCGCCGGACGAAUACUAGGUGCUCCGAAAGCAGCUUAAGCGGGACAGCUGGGUUCGCCAAUUUCAGGAAACCGGUUCCUUUUAAAGUUAAUUGAUAACCGAACACGUAGAGAUUAUGUCUGUAAAGUUUCGGACAGAAAUUGUAAAUAGUUGAAUAGUCACAGCCGAGAAGCCGUAAUUCGGAACUUCCAGAUUUGCGCCUAUGCUGACAAAUUUCUGUUCUGUAUUUGUCGAUGAAAAAAUUUCUGCAUGUUCCACGAACAGGGGACCAUUUGUCUUGGAAAUUUCAAGAAGAACCGCUUCGUAAUUCGUUAGGGAAAAUAUCACGAAGAUUGCGAUCGCGAGUACGAAACCGACUGUCUUUCCAAAGUAUUGGGAACUUCUGUACGGUGCAAUUAACCGGACGCGUCUUUGGCACCUGUCCAACGCACAUUUUUGUUCUCCGUUUAAAAAGUUUGCAUCGAAUCAUGAACGAUGGCGCAAUUCUGUUUUCAAAGAAAUGGCAGGAAGCUCGCAUACAGCAAAACAUUCUGUUUCCUGCAGGAACGCGACAGGACGAAGAACCGAAAGAAGCAUGCGCGUUAAAAAGACAAGAGAAAAUAUUUUCAACAGACAGAACACACAAGCAACAAAGUGUAGACGCGGACACGAAGUUUCCUGGGCCAUGGCUACAUUGGAAAACCGAGCAGACAAAUUUGAAAAAAAGUUGCAAUGCAAAAACCAGCGGGUUAAGGAGAUGAUUGCAGAGUUCGUCGGGGACACGAUGAAAGGGAAUCGGUAGAAAAAUAACCGAAAAAGAGCAAGUACUAGAUAUCCUCGGCGAUCCGUCGAACCCGGAGUCGUUGCUCCUCGUGGAGUUCAUCCUCUUGUCAGGGUCGUCGUCGAGCUCCGUGCAGGUAGAUCUGCUGC
Megalopta genalis is the source of this 3289-nucleotide non-coding RNA. Lineage: Eukaryota; Metazoa; Arthropoda; Insecta; Hymenoptera; Halictidae. The record is from RefSeq and is a predicted model, not a curated record.